AAUCAAGGAUUGUUCAAAUAUAAUUAAAAAAUGGGAGAGCGAUAGGUAUGAUAGGUAGUAUUUAGGAAUGUUGGCUGUAGGAUUUAAUCAACUUAAAUUAAACCGUUGGAUGAAGAGAAGGAAUACAAACUUUCAAUCCACUGGUGGAAAGUCUUUCCUCUUCCUCUUCCUCUCCCUUCUAUCUUUCUCAGUCGGAAAAGCCUUCCUUCUACUAGAUCCAGCCGGAGAAAGUGAACUCCGGUGGGAUCUCCAUUAGUUGGGAAACGUGGAUGCUCGCUGCUGCCACUACCUUUGCUGCCGUCACUGUUAUCGCCGAUGUUGCUCCCGCCACCGCCGUCGCCGCUGCAAGCAGAAGAGGUUGCUCCCCAUGACUCGCAAGUGAAAGCAGUUGCCGCUGCCAUUGCCGCUGGUGCCAUCUGUUGCCGCUGCCGUUGCUGCUUAGCGCCACUUUCGUUCAAUUCCACGACUAUGCUAACAUAUCGAUAAUGGCGGAGGGUUUUUUCGUAGAUCCAUUCAGGCGCUUCUUCUAGAGCCCUCCAAUCUUUCGAUAGUGGUCUGGAUCACUAGCCCUGAUGGAUUGGCUUGAAACCCCCAAUGCCCACAUCUACAAGGUCAACGUCCCAGGAUUCGAGAAGGAUGACAUAAAGGUUUAGGUAGAAGAUGGGAAUGUUCUACAGAAAAGGAUUUUCAUGCUAUGGAGGUCAUUGAGCGGCUAAGGUUAAAGGCUACCGCUGCUCCGAUGAACGAUCGUUGGAAAUAAUGAGGAGGAGAAGAGUGACGGUAGAGCGGCGGCAGGGUUGGUAGGUUCUGAUGACAACAAGUAAUCAACGGUAUUGACAUAACCUAUCUAAUCCCACGGCCAACAUUCACUAGCAUAUCCAAUUCCUAGGUAUGUCGCUAGCAUUUCUAUCAUUUUUCCCUUAAAAAAUAUACAUAAAUAUCAGAUGGUCCGGUCUGGUUUAGUGGGGCUAAAUCAGUUUUGAGGUGGGAUGGGAGAAUUCCAAAACCAAGCCAAUAAGGGAAUGGUUCGAUUUUGGUUGGUUUUGAAUUUGGUUUUCUUUUGUGGGGUUGUUAUUGGUUCAAUAUCUGGUUCAAUCUGGUUUACUUUGUGUAUAGGUUUCUUAUUGAUUUGAAUUUGGUUUUGAUUCGGUUUCGAUCAGUCCAAUGUGAUCUGUAUUUCAAACGGAUCCAAACUUUUUUAUAUAAAAACCAGCUCCAAACCGAAGUCAGUCA
Molecule: long non-coding RNA, 1233 nt
Organism: Macadamia integrifolia
Lineage: Eukaryota; Viridiplantae; Streptophyta; Magnoliopsida; Proteales; Proteaceae
Exons: 2
Source: RefSeq, a predicted model, not a curated record